Molecule: non-coding RNA, 203 nt
Organism: Cinara cedri
Lineage: Eukaryota; Metazoa; Arthropoda; Insecta; Hemiptera; Aphididae
Source: the annotation of a GenBank genome assembly
UUAAUAAUUAGGUCUAUAGUUAUUACCUAUAGUUCAAUAGUUAAUUUGCUAAUGGCAAUGAGGAGAUGCCUAUCUACUAAAUUGUUUAGGAUAGUAAUUAGUUUUAGUUGUAAAUAAUAUACAGAUCAUAGGAAGUAUUUUACCCUUUUAUUAUUAUUUUUUUUUUCAAUUUCAGAAGAAGAUUGUAAAAUUUUGAUUGAUGU